Molecule: unclassified non-coding RNA, 405 nt
Filed under: soil metagenome
Description: partial contains 5.8S ribosomal RNA, internal transcribed spacer 2, and large subunit ribosomal RNA
Rfam family: 5.8S ribosomal RNA (bases 1-121)
Source: RNAcentral
GAUGAAGAACGCAGCGAAAUGCGAUAAGUGAUGUGAAUUGCAGAAUUCAGUGAAUCAUCGAAUCUUUGAACGCACCUUGCGCCCUUUGGCCAUUCCGAAGGGCAUGCCUGUUUGAGUAUCAUGAACACCUCAACUCUUUAUGGUUUUCCAUGAUGAGCUUGGACUCUGGGGGUUUUGCUGGCUCACAGUCGGCUCCUCUAAAAUGAAUCAGCUUACCAGUGUUUGGUGGGUAUCAUGGGUGUGAUAACUAUCUACGCUUGUGGUUUUUCCACCAGGUAACCUUCAGCAGUGGAGGUUCGCUGGAGCUCAUAGAUGUCUCUCCUCAGUGAGGACAGCCCUUUGAAUGUUUGAUCUCAAAUCAGGUAGGACUACCCGCUGAACUUAAGCAUAUCAAUAAGCGGAGGA